UUCCGGGUGAUGAAGAAAAUCGUUCGGAUUCCCACUGAUAUUUCAUGACUAGUGUAACUGUUGGGGAACGUUGCAGAA
Molecule: small nucleolar RNA, 78 nt
Organism: Triticum dicoccoides
Lineage: Eukaryota; Viridiplantae; Streptophyta; Magnoliopsida; Poales; Poaceae
Product: small nucleolar RNA R12
Exons: 1
Source: RefSeq, a predicted model, not a curated record